Molecule: long non-coding RNA, 1388 nt
Organism: Mauremys mutica (yellowpond turtle)
Lineage: Eukaryota; Metazoa; Chordata; Testudines; Geoemydidae
Exons: 4
Source: RefSeq, a predicted model, not a curated record
GGGAGAUUCUUGGAGAUCGGAUUUCUGUUGCAAGUAUGAUUAUGAAUUCAAAAAUUGUUUUCCAUUAAUAUUCUGCAGUGCUAGCCUACAAUUUGGUGUUUCUGACUCUAGCAAUUUGUUCCUUAAAAGUAUGUCCAGUUUGUGGGAAACACGGAGAGAAAAUUUUGGACUCAGUCAAAAAAAAGUUGAUUUUGAUGUUUCUAGAUAUAUGUAAAACAAGAAAGCUGUAUGUCCAGCUCCAGACAUAUUAAAAAGAAAAGGCCUUUAAAAAGAAAACCGGAAUUGUGACCAGUAUUCCACAGCUUUUGUUGCAUUACAUAGGUCUAGUCUCUCACAUAGGUCUAGUCUCUCACAUAGUACCCCCUAGGAGCCCCAGUCAUGGAGCAAGGUGCCAUGGUGCUAGAUGCAAAGAGAUGAUCCCUGUCCCCAAGCGCUUACCAGGUGGUGGGAAGGCAUUUCCCAAUACAAGGAGCCUAUAGAUUUCUUGUGGGGGUUGGGGAGAGAUGCUACGUGAGCCCUCCUCCCCCAGCCCUUCCCCUAGUGUGGCAGGGAGGAGGAGGAGGAGGAGAUGAAUGCUUUGCACAUGUGCAGUGGGAGUCUGUUCCAAGUAUAAAGUGCAGCAUGCAGUGGUGGGGACGAGACAGGCUGAAGCUAAGAGUGGGAAAAGGUGGACAAAAGGAGCAGUCAGGCACGAGGCUGGGGAGGAGAGUUUUCGGCAUGGGACGGGUAAGAGAGUGGAGAUGCAGCAGGAAUUGUGAUGGGCCCUGAAGGUGAGGAUGAGGAACGGAGAAGCCUGUGAAGAGAGCCGUCGGUUGAACUGGUGGGAGAAAAUGCUGAAUUUAGGAGACCUCUUUGUAAACAGUCCUACAUUUGAUUGGCACUACCAAGGAGUUGCCUGCAUUAUUUUUUUUUCUGAUUACUGCAUGUUCCCUUUUCUUGUCUACAUCUGCAGAAUUAAAUCAGUGGGAGGUUUUGUCCCUAUAAACGUUGUCUUGCUUAGCCGUCUGCUCCCUCAGAAUCUGCUCCUGGGUCUAAGGAGGGUCUCCAGGCAAUGAUAGAAUCAGCGUGUCUCUCUCCUUUUCCCAGGCUUAGUGUGUUCUCAGCUCAGGUACAGGCGUCAUUUGCAUUUUGUGGUAUGUUUUGCAGCAGCUUGUUAUAGUAUUAUCUGUUAAAGAAUGUAUUUUUAAUGUGUUUUAUAGAGUACUUUAUAAAUUAGUUAUUAAAGAAUGUACCUGCAGCUAGUGAUCACUUAAUAAAUAUUAAUAAAGCAAUUACAAAUGAGGCCAUCAUUAAAAGUGUUACAGUGUACCCAAGGUGGAUAUCUAGAAAGAAGUACAAUGUAUACUGCUGGCUGCUGAAAAGUUGUGAGGGCUUGUGGGUAAAAGACU